GUACCUUACUACCGAACGGGUGAGUAACGCGUGGGAAUCUACCUAGAAAUGGGGAAUAACUACUGGAAACGGUAGCUAAUACCGCAUAAUCCCUUCGGGGCAAAGGCUUCGGCCGUUUUUAGAUGAGCCCGCGUUAGAUUAGAUUGUUGGUGGGGUAAUGGCCUACCAAAUCUUCUAUCUAUAGCUGGUCUGAGAGGAUGAUCAGCCACACUGGGACUGAGACACGGCCCAGACUCCUACGGGAGGCAGCAGUGGGGAAUAUUGGACAAUGGGGGAAACCCUGAUCCAGCAAUGCCGCGUGAGUGAAGAAGGCCUUAGGGUUGUAAAACUCUUUCAGAAGUGAAGAUGAUGACUGUAACUUCAGAAGAAGCUCCGGCUAACUCCGUGCCAGCAGCCGCGGUAAUACGGAGGGAGCUAGCGUUGUCCGGAAUUACUGGGCGUAAAGGGCGUGUAGGCCGUAUGGUAAGUCACAGGUGAAAUCCCUAAGCUUAACU
Molecule: ribosomal RNA, 494 nt
Filed under: uncultured bacterium
Lineage: Bacteria
Description: bacterial SSU rRNA
Rfam family: Bacterial small subunit ribosomal RNA
Source: RNAcentral